RNAcentral lists this transfer RNA (64 nucleotides) under Caerostris darwini. RNAcentral's name for it is "tRNA-Asn". The stretch from base 2 to 56 matches the Rfam family "tRNA", at positions 10 to 63 of the family's 71-position model. Rfam says of the family: Transfer RNA (tRNA) molecules are approximately 80 nucleotides in length. Their secondary structure includes four short double-helical elements and three loops (D, anti-codon, and T loops). Lineage: Eukaryota; Metazoa; Arthropoda; Arachnida; Araneae; Araneidae. The record is from RNAcentral.
UGCUCAGUUGGCAAGCGGUGGACUGUUGAUCCAUAGGUCGCUGGUUCGACUCCGGCUCGAAAAA